CAACGUCUUACCUUUUAAGAGACACCUAGAACCGAAUAUUUCCACUUCCUCACCCACCUGGCACCACCGCCAUUACUCCCACUGACCUUCACCCCCACUACCACCACCUCCGCCUCAUUGCCGCCACUCUCCACUCCCAUUUCUCCAUCCACAAUCUCAAACGAAAGGCAAUCCCUAAUUUUUAGAUCGGCAUUUAUCUCAUUUGAAGCUACAUUACAAGUGGUGAGUUGAUUUUCUGUAUUGAAUACUCUUAAAGUUACUGUAAUGGCGUAUUUGCUGGGUUAGCGUGAAUGUUCCGUUUGGUUGUGCUUUUCUGAAAACGAUUGCUUCCUUAAACUAUUGCUUCUUUCUUUAAAGCUCUGUUUGUUUCCGGUUUUGAUUUGCUGAUUGGAGUGUAUUAGUGGCCAUUUAAGCUGCAACAGACAGCUUAAAUGGCUAGUUCUGUUGAUGCCGGAGAAGUUUCGAUAAUCGUCUUCGGGCUUUGGUCUCAGCAUGUCAGUUUUGUUACUUCGUAAAGUGAUAGAUUGUGAAUGUACUUUUAAGAUUGAAAUUUCCAGUCUGCAAUGGACCGCCGAAGUUGGCCCUGGAAGAAAAAAUCAUCUGAUAAGGCUGAUAAAAAUGCUGCAGCAACGGAUUCUGGUGGUGGUAUUGUGGCUUCAAGUGGAUCACAGGCGGCGGAUAAGGAUAACUACAGAAAACCCAACUAUGUUCAAAUUUCUGUGGAAUCAUACACCCGUCUGACUGGUUUGGAGGAUCAAGUGAAGACAUAUGAGCAACAAGUUCAGACUUUGGAGGAUGAAAUUAAGGAUUUGAAUGAAAAGCUCUCUGCAGCAAAUUCGGAGAUGACUACAAAGGAAAACCUUGUGAAACAGCAUGCUAAAGUUGCUGAGGAAGCUGUUUCAGGUUGGGAAAAGGCUGAAGCAGAAGCUUUGGCGCUGAAAAACCAUCUAGAAUCAGUCACACUUUCAAAGCUUACUGCUGAAGAUCGGGCAUCACAUUUGGAUGGUGCUCUUAAAGAGUGCAUGCGGCAAAUACGAAACUUGAAGGAAGAACAUGAACAGAAAUUGCAAGAUGUUAUAAUCUCAAAGACCAAACAAUGGGACAAAACUAAGCUUGAGUUUGAAGCAAAAAUAGUUAAUUUAGACCAAGAACUCCUUAUGUCUGCAGCUGAAAAUGCUGCCCUUUCAAGGUCACUGCAAGAGCGUUCUAACAUGCUAAUCAAAAUGAGCGAAGAAAAAUCACAAGCUGAGGCUGAGAUUGAACUUUUGAAGAGCAAUAUUGAAUCAUGUGAAAGGGAAAUAAAUUCACUUAAAUAUGAACUCCACAUAGUUUCCAAGGAGCUGGAGAUUCGUAAUGAGGAAAAGAACAUGAGUAUGAGAUCUGCAGAAGCAGCAAACAAGCAACAUAUGGAGGGUGUCAAAAAAAUAGCUAAGCUGGAAGCAGAGUGCCAAAGGCUACGAGGUCUUGUGCGAAAGAAGUUGCCUGGUCCUGCUGCACUUGCCCAAAUGAAGCUAGAGGUUGAGAAUUUAGGCCGAGAUUACGGAGAUUCUCGACUAAGGAGGUCACCUGGUAAGCUUCCCAGUCCACAUCUGUCUGCUGUGCCUGAAUUUUCACUUGACAAUGCUCACAAAUUCCAUAAAGAGAAUGAAUUUCUCACAGAGCGUUUGUUGGCCAUGGAAGAAGAAACAAAGAUGCUGAAAGAAGCUUUAGCAAAGCGUAAUAGUGAACUGCAGGCUUCUAGGAAUCUGUGUGCCAAGACAGCAAGUAGGCUUCAAAGUUUAGAAGCACAACUUCAAGUGAACAAUCAACAGAAAGGUUCACCAAAUUCUAUGGUUCAGGUUCCUACUGAAGGUUACUCUACUCAAAAUAUGAGCAAUCCACCUAGCUUGACCUCCACCAUGUCUGAAGAUGGAAAUGAUGAUGACCAAAGUUGUGCUGACUCUUGGGCAGUGUCAUCGAUCUCCGAGCUCUCUCAAUUAAAGAAGGAAAAGGAAAAGCCUAAUAAGACCAAAAAUGCUAAGCACUUGGAGCUUAUGGAUGAUUUCCUGGAGAUGGAGAAGUUGGCUUGCUUAAAUGCAGAUGGUGCCAUCACAAUUUCAGAUUCUCCAAACAAUAAGACAUCUGAAAUUCUGAAUGGUGAUCCUUCAGUAGAUGCCGCUUCGGUCAAGGGUACCCUGUCUGAAGGACAAUCUAUUUUGGAUCCAUUAGUGAAUCGUGUAUCUUCAAAAAUGGAUUUGUCAGCAGUGGAUUCUGGAUCUAAUGCAGAGCAGCCACCCUUGAUGAAGCUGCAGUCAAGAAUUUCUCUGUUACUUGAGUCUAUGCCUAAAGAUGCUGAUAUGGGGAAAAUUUUAGAGGAUGUUAAACGUGUUGUGCAGGAUGUACAUGAUACUUUAAAUCAGCAGUCUGGAAGUUGUGUUCCUGAGGAAUUGCAUGCUCCUGAUGAUGCUGUAUGGAAUUAUUCCGGUCAGACUUGUCCUGAAGAUAUUAAGGCAGCUACAGAACCAGUCCACUCAGUAAGCCGAGAGUUGGUCAGUGCCAUUUCUGGUAUUCACGAUUUUGUGUUGUUCCUGGGACAAGAAGCAAUAGCAGUUCAUGACACAUCUUCCGAUGGUGAUGGUAUGAGUCAAAAAAUCGAGGAAUUUUUGGUCACCUUCAAUAAAGUAUUAAAUGGCAAUACAAGUUUGGUUGAUUUUGUUUGUGACCUUGCUCGUGUAUUAGCUAAAGCCAGUGAACUUAGAUUUAAUGUCCUGGGUUAUAAAGGUUCUGAAGGAGAAAUCAAUAGUCCUGAUUGCAUAGAUAAGGUUGCCUUACCAGUGGAUAAGGUUCUUCAAAGGGAUUCAUCAGGAGAAAGAUAUCAAAAUGGUUGUGCUCACAUUUCUAGUCCUACCUCUAACCCUGAGGUCCCUGAUGAUGGAAAUUUGGUAUCUGGCUAUGGGUCAAAUGCAACAUUGUGCAAAGUCUCACCAGAGGAAUUUGAAGAAUUGAAAUCAGAGAAAGAAAGCAUGGCUGUGGAUCUUGCUAGGUGCACUGAAAACCUGGAAAUGACAAAGUCUCAAUUACAUGAAACUGAGCAGCUUCUAGCUGAAGUUAAAUCACAAUUGGGUUCUGCACAAAAGUCAAAUAGCUUGGCUGAGACACAGCUGAAAUGUAUGGCUGAGUCAUACAGGUCACUUGAAGCUCGUGCAGAGGAGUCAGAAACUGAAGUGAACCUUCUGCGAGGAAAAGUAGAAACUCUAGAGAAUGAGCUUGAAGAUGAAAAGCAAUGUCAUUGGGAUGCUUUGACCAAAUGCAAGGAGUUAGAAGAGCAACUGCAAAUGUAAGCUUUGUUCUUUCUUAUAUUCUCCUUUUUUCUGGGUGAUGAAUAGUUUAUGAGGGAUAGAAAAGAAAGAAUAGCCUUUCUUUCAUUGUAUGCACAUUUGCCAUCUAUCCUUUGCAAAUUGAUUUGUCUGCCAUGUCUAAGGUUAGCCAGGAGCCAACUUAGCUCCUUCUAACUUUCUGGAUUUAAAAUCAGAUUUUUGCUGUAUUCUACAGAUAUAAUGUCUAGUUGUUUGUAGGAUUUGGUAAUGGGUCCUACUAGUGAAAAUAAAAUAAAUUUAUGCAUAUGUUAGUUCUAACUAUAAAAAAUUUGAGCAUGUGCAUUGCAAUUUGAUUCUCCACUUCAUUUCAGUAACACUUACAAACUAUAACUCACUAUAUCACUUAAUGUUGAGAAUUUGAGAUGGGUCUUCCCUUGGCAUUUUUCCUAUUGAUUUUCUCAAAUUAAUAGAAGUUCUUAAUCUGUUUUGCAUUGGGGAAUUGGCCACUAAUGCUAUAAUUUAUUACUGUGCUUGCAACUGACUGAUUUAAAUUUUUUUAAGUCUCAUGUGGAAUUUCCUAAUGUUUCAUUUAUAUUUGCUUUUAGCUCUAAUAUUUUAUACUGUCAUCUUCAGGAAAGAGAGCUGUUCCGUUUGUUCUUCAUCUGCUGACGCUGACCUCAAGACCAAACAAGUGAGAUUAUCUCCUUUAUCUUUCUUGAAUUUACUUUUGAACAGUACUGCCAAUUUAUGAGCAAAUAGAUCAUCCUUGCAAGUUGAUACAAAAAUAACUGCCUGUGGAUGCUUGUCCAAAAUAAGAUGUUGGUCAAAAAAUAAUUUAGAACUCCAAAUAUGUUUGUAUUUUGGUUGCCUACUUUGCAUCUCAAGUCUGUUGCAAGCAAAGCAAUUAUUUGUCGAGUAAAAUGUGGGGGUAGAACUUCGGCCUGAACUAUAGUGUUUUGCUCUUCACAAUAUCAGUAUGAAAGGAUAAAAUCUCGUAUCAGCCUCAAUCCAUUUUAUUUUACAUUCUUCUUUUCCAUGAUAGAAUAUGAAAAGCUGAACAUGGAAAGUGUUUCUGUUAUCACAGGAGAGAGAGCUAGCAUCUGCAGCUGAAAAGCUGGCUGAGUGCCAGGAGACCAUAUUUCUUCUUGGAAAGCAGUUGAAAGCUUUGCAUCCUCAAGCAGAGCUCAUGGGAUCUCCAUACAGUGAGAGGAGUCAAAGGGGUGAGGGAUUUCCUGAAGAUGAACCUACUACUAGUGGCAUGAACUUGCAGGACUUUGAUCAGGCUGAGAUAGAUGGUACUGUUUCAACAAACCUGCACAGAUCGGGUGCUGAGUCCCCCAUGGAUUUGUACAACCAACCAUGUAGUCCAUCCAACACGGAAGCAAGCCUCCCAAGAUCACCAAUCAAUUCAAAGCAUCCAAAACACAGGUCUACCAAGUCAACAUCCUCAUCUUCCACACUUGUUCAGGCACCAGAGAAUAAUCUACGAGGUUUCAGCAGGUUCUUUUCCUCGAAAGGAAGGAAUGGCAAUUAGGAUUUUGCUUGCAGCUCCGCAGGCAUAAUAAAAUUAAGGUUGGACAAAGGUUCAUAAGUAAUAAUCCAAAGCACAUAAAAAUGGAUUCAUCUACCAUCAUUGGUGCUAGAAUCACCUGUGGAAGCGUUUGCUUGGUUUCAUGUUGUGAAAAUGAUGCUUUCAACGCCAUGUAAUUUUUGUAACUGAUGACUGUAUAUGUUCCCAUAUAUGCUAGGCUCUUUUUUUAUUUUUUGGGUUCAAUUCCUCUCAUUUGCCUUCUGUAAUUUCUUUACUUGAAAGAGACUGCGUUUCUGGAUUGUUACAAUAUCUGAAUAUAAUUUCGUAUGUGGCAGUGGCAGUUUUGUAUGAUUCUUU
RNAcentral lists this unclassified non-coding RNA (5184 nucleotides) under Hevea brasiliensis (rubber tree). The record is from RNAcentral. Lineage: Eukaryota; Viridiplantae; Streptophyta; Magnoliopsida; Malpighiales; Euphorbiaceae.